Molecule: microRNA precursor, 77 nt
Filed under: Schistosoma mattheei
Lineage: Eukaryota; Metazoa; Platyhelminthes; Trematoda; Strigeidida; Schistosomatidae
Description: mir-3492 microRNA precursor family
Rfam family: mir-3492 microRNA precursor family
Source: Rfam by way of RNAcentral
AGCCUUCUGUAUCCGUGCUGAGAUUUCGUCACACACAAACUACAAGGGCUGAUGAGACUUCCAAGGUAAAUGAAGCG